CCCCAGCCCACGUCUGCUCAGCAUCCAGCACCCCCAUUGUCCUGGCCUCUUGGAAACUCCUAGGGGCUCCCAAACACCCACUCGCCAACCUUGGAAAUCUCACACACCCCAAAUUAGCCCCUAGCACCCCGGUAACCAUUCUCCAUUCUCCCCCCUCCCCCCAUCUAGCUGCCCCUCCCUGGUGCCCACCACUCACUCUUAACUCUGAAGAGGACCGCCACCCCACCUGGCGACCCAGGACCCCAACGUCAGGGACAGGGCCCCCCGCCGCCAUGCACAAACACUACACCGUCCGCUUCAUCAAGGGCGCCCUGCCCCUUCGGACCCCCACCGAACACUACUUCUUGGACCCGGAGUUGGGGCAGCAAAAAGAUAUCCUGACAGAAGAUGAUGUCUACUGCAGCUGUCUGGCCAAGACCCUCUGCCACGUGCCUGUCCCUGUGACCGUGGGUUUCUAUGCCCCCUUCGGCUGCCGCCUGCACAUGAUGCUGGACAAGAUCACCGGUGAGGCUCUGUGUGUGCUGGGGGAGGAGGGAGUACGGGAAACGGAGCCCCUGGUCCCCACCCGGCCUCAGGCUUCCCCAAGCCCGCUUGCUCCCGGGGCCAGCCGGGCCCCAGUCUGUGAAGUCAGUAUUAACCAGGUCCCUCCUGACACCCACAGCCUCUGUCCCCGGGUCCCUGCUCAUUCCCUCUCUGGCCUCCUGGCCACCAGUCCCAUCCCCUCCCCUGCCAGAGCCACUCCAAGGAAUCUUCGGAAGAUACAGCUCUGGUGGGGCACCUGGGUGGCUCAGUCAGUUAAGCGGCCGGCUCUUGAUGUCAGCUCAGGUCAGGAUCUUGGGGUUGCUCAGCAUGGAGUCUGCUUGGGAUUCUCUCUCUCCCUCUCCCUCUGCUCCUCCCCCUGAUCUCUCUCUCAAAUAAAUAAAUACAUCUUUAAAAAAAAAAAAAAGAU
This 949-nucleotide long non-coding RNA is filed under the name Ursus maritimus (polar bear). RNAcentral describes it as "lncRNA (ENSUMAG00000023449.1)". Lineage: Eukaryota; Metazoa; Chordata; Mammalia; Carnivora; Ursidae. The record is from RNAcentral.